This 396-nucleotide ribosomal RNA is filed under the name uncultured bacterium. RNAcentral's name for it is "partial 16S ribosomal RNA". It matches the Rfam family "Bacterial small subunit ribosomal RNA", at positions 360 to 773 of the family's 1533-position model. The record is from RNAcentral.
ACUUUUCGGCAAUGGGCGACAGCCUGACCGAGCCACGCCGCGUGAAGGACGAAGGCCUUCGGGUCGUAGACUUUUGUCUUUGGUGACGAUAAUGACGGUACCCACGGAGGAAGCCCCGGCUAACUACGUGCCAGCAGCCGCGGUAAUACGUAGGGGGCGAGCGUUGUCCGGAAUUACUGGGCGUAAAGGCCCCGUAGGCGACCUGAUAAGUCAGAUGUGAAAUCCCAAGGCUUAACCGUGGGUUUGCAUUUGAAACUGUUGGGCUUGAGGGCAGGAGAGGAAAGCGGAAUUCCCAGUGUAGCGGUGAAAUGCGUAGAUAUUGGGAGGAACACCAGUGGCGAAGGCGGCUUUCUGGACUGCACCUGACGCUGAAGCGCGAAAGCUAGGGGAGCGAAC